This 74-nucleotide non-coding RNA is filed under the name Pseudomonas baetica. The record is from RNAcentral. Lineage: Bacteria; Pseudomonadati; Pseudomonadota; Gammaproteobacteria; Pseudomonadales; Pseudomonadaceae.
AAAGAUCGCAGCCUUCGGCAGCUCCUACAGGAGAAUACGUUGCUAUGUAGGAGCUGCCGAAGGCUGCGAUCUUU